RNAcentral lists this ribosomal RNA (497 nucleotides) under uncultured bacterium. RNAcentral describes it as "partial 16S ribosomal RNA". It matches the Rfam family "Bacterial small subunit ribosomal RNA", at positions 28 to 507 of the family's 1533-position model. The record is from RNAcentral.
GACGAACGCUGGCGGCGUGCCUAAUACAUGCCAGUUGAGCGCUGAAGGUUGGUACUUGUACCAACUGGAUGAGCAGCGAACGGGUGCGUAACGCGUGGGGAAUCUGCCUUUGAGCGGGGGACAACAUUUGGAAACGAAUGCUAAUACCGCAUAAAAACUUUAAACACAAGUUUUAAGUUUGAAAGAUGCAAUUGCAUCACUCAAAGAUGAUCCCGCGUUGUAUUAGCUAGUUGGUGAGGUAAAGGCUCACCAAGGCGAUGAUACAUAGCCGACCUGAGAGGGUGAUCGGCCACAUUGGGACUGAGACACGGCCCAAACUCCUACGAGAGGCAGCAGUAGGGAAUCUUCGGCAAUGGACGAAAGUCUGACCGAGCAACGCCGCGUGAGUGAAGAAGGUUUUCGGAUCGUAAAACUCUGUUAGUAGAGAAGAACGUUGGUGAGAGUGGAAAGCUCAUCAAGUGACGGUAACUACCCAGAAAGGGACGGCUAACUACGUG